CAGCUAGGUAAUCUAGUUAGCAUCGAGAAUAUGUCUCCAGCUAGGUAAUCUAGUUAGCAUCGAGAAUAUGUCUCCAGCUAGGUAAUCUAGUUAGCAUCGAGAAUAUGUCUCCAGCUAGGUAAUCUAGUUAGCAUCGAGAAUAUGUCUCCAGCUAGGUAAUCUAGUUAGCAUCGAGAAUAUGUCUCCAGCUAGGUAAUCUAGUUAGCAUCGAGAAUAUGUCUCCAGCUAGGUAAUCUAGUUAGCAUCGAGAAUAUGUCUCCAGCUAGGUAAUCUAGUUAGCAUUGAGAAUAUGUCUCCAGCUAGGUAAUCUAGUUAGCAUUGAGAAUAUGUCUCCAGCUAGGUAAUCUAGUUAGCAUUGAGAAUAUGUCUCCAGCUAGGUAAUCUAGUUAGCAUUGAGAAUAUGUCUCCAGCUAGGUAAUCUAGUUAGCAUUGAGAAUAUGUCUCCAGCUAGGUAAUCUAGUUAGCAUUGAGAAUAUGUCUCCAGCUAGGUAAUCUAGUUAGCAUUGAGAAUAUGUCUCCAGCUAGGUAAUCUAGUUAGCAUUGAGAAUAUGUCUCCAGCUAGGUAAUCUAGUUAGCAUUGAGAAUAUGUCUCCAGCUAGGUAAUCUAGUUAGCAUUGAGAAUAUGUCUCCAGCUAGGUAAUCUAGUUAGCAUUGAGAAUGUGUCUCCAGCUAGGUAAUCUAGUUAGCAUUGAGAAUGUGUCUCCAGCUAGGUAAUCUAGUUAGCAUUAUGAGAAUGUGUCUCCAGCAAGGUAAUCUAGUUAGCAUU
Molecule: long non-coding RNA, 766 nt
Organism: Oncorhynchus keta (chum salmon)
Lineage: Eukaryota; Metazoa; Chordata; Actinopteri; Salmoniformes; Salmonidae
Exons: 4
Source: RefSeq, a predicted model, not a curated record